AGAGUUUGAUCAUGGCUCAGGAUGAACGCUAGCUACAGGCUUAACACAUGCAAGUCGAGGGGAAACGACAUCGAAAGCUUGCUUUUGAUGGGCGUCGACCGGCGCACGGGUGAGUAACGCGUAUCCAACCUGCCCAUCACUUGGGGAUAACCUUGCGAAAGUAAGACUAAUACCCAAUGACGUCUCUAGAAGACAUCUGAAAGAGAUUAAAGAUUUAUCGGUGAUGGAUGGGGAUGCGUCUGAUUAGAUAGUUGGUGGGGUAAUGGCCUACCAAGUCGACGAUCAGUAGCCGGACUGAGAGGUUGAACCGGCCACAUUGGGACUGAGAUACGGCCCAGACUCCUACGGGAGGCA
Molecule: ribosomal RNA, 354 nt
Filed under: uncultured bacterium
Lineage: Bacteria
Description: bacterial SSU rRNA
Rfam family: Bacterial small subunit ribosomal RNA
Source: RNAcentral